RNAcentral lists this ribosomal RNA (279 nucleotides) under uncultured bacterium. RNAcentral describes it as "partial 16S ribosomal RNA". It matches the Rfam family "Bacterial small subunit ribosomal RNA", at positions 506 to 784 of the family's 1533-position model. The record is from RNAcentral.
UGCCAGCCGCCGCGGUAAUACGGAGGGUGCGAGCGUUAAUCGGAAUUACUGGGCGUAAAGCGCACGCAGGCGGUUUGCUAAGCUAGAUGUGAAAGCCCCGGGCUCAACCUGGGAAUUGCGUUUAAUACUGGUGAGCUAGAGUACGAGAGAGGAAAGUGGAAUUCCUAGUGUAGAGGUGAAAUUCGUAGAUAUUAGGAAGAACACCAGUGGCGAAGGCGACUUUCUGGCUCGUAACUGACGCUGAGGCACGAAAGCGUGGGGAGCAAACAGGAUUAGAUA